CCGAACGGCGCGACUUCGUAGCGUUUCGGAAACGCCUCGGGCGAUCCUCCUUCUCGACGGCCAAAUUACGAUCGGACGAUGGCAGGAAUUGCAGUUUUGCUUCCGAGAAGAAAUUGGCUUUCAAUUGCCUAAUUAAAUAAUU
Drosophila bipectinata is the source of this 142-nucleotide long non-coding RNA. RefSeq lists it as uncharacterized. Lineage: Eukaryota; Metazoa; Arthropoda; Insecta; Diptera; Drosophilidae. The record is from RefSeq and is a predicted model, not a curated record.